This 1156-nucleotide ribosomal RNA is filed under the name uncultured organism. RNAcentral describes it as "bacterial SSU rRNA". It matches the Rfam family "Bacterial small subunit ribosomal RNA", at positions 232 to 1389 of the family's 1533-position model. The record is from RNAcentral.
UGCGUACCAUUAGUUAGUUGGUGAGGUAAAGGCUCACCAAUGCGAUGAUGGUUAGGGGUCCUGAGAGGGUAGUCCCCCACACUGGUACUGAGACACGGACCAGACUCCUACGGGAGGCAGCAGUGAGGAAUAUUGGUCAAUGGGCGCUAGCCUGAACCAGCCAUGCCGCGUGCAGGAAGACGGCCCUACGGGUUGUAAACUGCUUUUCUGCAGGAAGAAUAUAUAGUCUUAGGGGUAUAUUGACGGUACUGCAGGAAUAAGCAUCGGCUAACUCCGUGCCAGCAGCCGCGGUAAUACGGAGGAUGCAAGCGUUAUCCGGAUUCAUUGGGUUUAAAGGGUGCGCAGGCUGUAAGGCAAGUCAGUGGUGAAAGCCCUGGGCUUAACUCAGGGAUUGCCAUUGAAACUGUUUUACUAGAGUGUAGUAGAGGACGGCGGAAUGAGUUGUGUAGCGGUGAAAUGCAUAGAUAUAACUCAGAACACCUAUUGCGUAGGCAGCUGUCUAUACUACAACUGACGCUGAGGCACGAAAGCGUGGGGAGCGAACAGGAUUAGAUACCCUGGUAGUCCACGCUGUAAACGAUGAUCACUCGUUGUUGGCUACUUAGUAGUCAGUGACCAAGGGAAACCGAUAAGUGAUCCACCUGGGGAGUACGUCGGCAACGAUGAAACUCAAAGGAAUUGACGGGGGCCCGCACAAGCGGAGGAACAUGUGGUUUAAUUCGAUGAUACGCGAGGAACCUUACCUGGGCUUAAAUGCUGGCUGCAUUGGAGGGAAACCUUCAUUUCCUACGGGACCGCCAGCAAGGUGCUGCAUGGUUGUCGUCAGCUCGUGCCGUGAGGUGUCGGGUUAAGUCCCAUAACGAGCGCAACCCCUAUCGCUAGUUGCCAGCAUGUAAUGGUGGGGACUCUAGCGAGACUGCCGGUGUAAACCGGAGGAAGGUGGGGAUGACGUCAAAUCAGCACGGCCCUUACGUCCAGGGCUACACACGUGUUACAAUGGCCGGUACAAAGAGCAGCCACCUGGCGACAGGGCGCUAAUCUCAAAAACCGGUCUCAGUUCGGAUCGAAGUCUGCAAUUCGACUUCGUGAAGGUGGAUUCGCUAGUAAUCGCGCAUCAGCCAUGGCGCGGUGAAUAAGUUCCCGGGCCUUGUACACA